CUCCCACCUCCUUUUUUUAUUCCCAUUCCACCACGAUCCCCAACCCCAACCCUCGUUCUCUUCUCCCUUCCCCAUGUUCCUCACGGCGCUAGCAGAGGUGAGAGGCGCUCGUGGCAGAGUACGGGGAGGUGCACCACGGAUUUCUGCUCGCCAUCCUGCCGCAGCGGAGAUGCUCGCUCCUCAUUGCGACCGCGUUGGUUGUGAUGUGGCCGGCCCAGGCAUCCACCCCUGUGGCUUUCCCCUCCGCUGUCGUUCGUGGGCGAUGGAUCGGUCGCUCUCCACCGUCGACUUGUCCUCCGCACUCUCGCUCAUCCACAUCGUCUUCGCCUCUACGGGAUCACGGGAUCAACACACCUCUGGCCCCGCUGUGAGUGAGGAGCCGCCCAUCCCUCUGUAAUCCGAGAUGUCGCCCCACCAUUCCUGUUCCGCCAACAACAACAUCUCCCCUGACCGCUUGUCGUGCCUUGCCUCCAAAUCGGAUCACUGCAGUCUGAAGAUAAGCUUCAUCAUUGAUUCUUUUUUCUUUAUGUUUCUUAUGUUAUUUGUCACUUCACCGUGAACGUCAUGAGAUGUCUUGUUGGUUCAAUGAUGAACUGAAUAGAUCGUGUCACUUUGAUCAUGUCGUUGUAUGAAGAAUAUGGGAGUGCCAACCAUUGGCGACUCAUUCUAUAAUCUGUACUAUCAUGUUCAGUUAGUUUCUGGACAGAUGAGUAUAUGUUUAGUUUAUAUUGUGCCAUUGGUCCAAGAAUUGCUCUUGUAUAGAAGUGUAGCAAUGGAUGGUCCAAAAGCAAAUCAUAUUCUAAUUGCUGCAGAGUUUAAAAACCAACUGGAAUACAUUUCCAUUUGCUUUCUGCUGAAGCUUGAAUGAUCUUCUUUUUUCAGUAUUUUGAUGCAGUCUUAUCUCAACCACAUGAUGGCACACUAUAUAAGACCUCUAACCUGACGUGGAAGGACGAACUUCGACCAUGGAGCAGAGCACAGCGACGGUGGUCGUUGUCAUGGAUUGAUGGUCAAUGAUAAAGAGCAGGGGCCCUCGGAUGCUAGCCCUCCUCCCGCUGCUAUCCUCCCCAUCACCUACGAGAUGUAUAUGAUGCUGACUUUCAGAGGCUGAACAAUUAGGUUGAUAUUGAAGGAGUAAUAAAGGAUCAAUGGGCCAAGAUGUUUUGAGAUCAAACGGUGAGGUGCUAGGGACAGUCCUCCAGAGCAAAAGCAUUCAGUUUCAAGGACAUCAUAAGAUGCUAAAAAGUCCAAUUCAAGUAAUUUCAUCAUAAAACAGGGCUACAAGUAACAACUGGAGAAGAAGGGGGCCAAAAAUCCAAAAAGGCAUUGGGCGUGCAGCCACUCCGCCGACAUGACAGUCUUAGUACGCGGCACUGCGUAAACACGCAUUGCGGUGGCGACCACUGACACUGACAACAACGUGGCUUUUCAGCGAGCGGCGACCCUGACGGUGGCAGCACCCAUCACAUAAGGCAACGCUCCGACCAUACCCGAUGGUGUUCCCUGAGCCAUGGUGUGUGCCUUCUCCUCCCCUAGAUCAUCUCACCAAUUACUUGCACGCUAGAGGAAUGUAUAUCAUAGAUUAUCUAGAAACGAUACUGCUUACUUCUGAUGCUCCAUCAUCGUGCCAGGCUUCAUUUAAUCCUAAAGGCUCCUUUGGUUAGUAAUUCAUCUACUCUUCAUCAUUGCCUGCAAUUUUCAUCACUGACUGUAGUUUUGUAAAUUAAUUCAUCCUUGGUAAGUUUUGACUGUCUAUUCUUUGCUCAUUGGCUCUGUAUGGCGAUUGUCACAUGUUUAAUUUGACUGCACAUUGGACAUGUAAUUAUACAUUUCGAGGUAUAACGCUGGUGUUUGUUUCUACAUUUGAAUAUUUCUCUUGUGGGGUAGAAACCAUAUUCUAUUCCCCCUGUUGGGCCAACUUGCUUGUAGAAUCACAAUGGGAGAAUUAUUGAUUUGUUAAUCCCUUCCUUCAACAUGUUAGAACUUGCAUUUUCCUGCUUAAAGUAUUACGUUAAUACACUACAUAAUCACUGGUGCCUGCAGAGCUGACGCAAUAUAACAAAUUAGGCUGGGUCUGAAAGAUGCAGCCAUGUUGGCCUCGCCAAUGAGUGAAUGUUGGAAGAUGCAACAUUAGGAAAUGCCGAGUAUAUAUGGCAACAUCCAUGGUUCUGUCUCCUAUCUCAUAUAAGGCCUAAUUAAGUCUCCUUGUUCUUGUUACAAGUCAUUUAGCACUGAUGUGAUUAGUGAUGUUCCACUGACCUGGAGGUGUGUUAUCACAUACCAAGCAAUUAAUCAUUACCUAAAGUCAUGUUCAUUGCCUCGAUAUCAUUCCCUAUGUCUUUCUUGAAUUCUUUGCUGAAGACAAUUUCCGUGAGAUUAAUUUCCUUUUUGUUCACUUCA
Triticum dicoccoides is the source of this 2400-nucleotide long non-coding RNA. RefSeq lists it as uncharacterized. Lineage: Eukaryota; Viridiplantae; Streptophyta; Magnoliopsida; Poales; Poaceae. The record is from RefSeq and is a predicted model, not a curated record. The transcript is spliced from 5 exons.